This 890-nucleotide ribosomal RNA is filed under the name uncultured archaeon. RNAcentral's name for it is "bacterial SSU rRNA". It matches the Rfam family "Archaeal small subunit ribosomal RNA", at positions 1 to 871 of the family's 1478-position model. The record is from RNAcentral.
UUUUCCGGUGAUCCUGCCGGACCCGACUGCUAUCGGGAUGAUACUAAGCCAUGGGAGUUGUACGUUCUUGGCCAUGUAAGGACGUGGCGUACGGCUCAGUAGCACAUGGUCAAUCUGCCCUUGGGUGGGGGAUAACCCCGGGAAACUGGGGCUAAUACCCUAUAGACGAGCAAUCCUGGAAGGGAUGUUCAUCAAAAAGGUGCAGGGGCAUGCUCCUGUGCCGCCCAAGGAUGAGACUGUGUUCCAUCAGGUAGUUGGCGAGGUAACGGCUCGCCAAGCCGAUAACGGAUGCGGGCAGUGAGAGCUGAAGCCCGGAGAUGGGCACUGAGACAAGGGCCCAGGCCCUACGGGGCGCACCAGGCGAGAAACCUCAGCAAUGCGGGAAACCGUGACUGGGCCAUCCCGAGUGCCAGCCGCUAAGGUUGGCUUUUCUUCAGAGUAGUAACCUGAAGGAAUAAGCGGGGGGCAAGACUGGUGUCAGCCGCCGCGGUAAUACCAGCUCCGCGAGUGGUCGGGACGAUUAUUGAGCCUAAAGCGCUCGUAGCCGGCCCGGUUAGUCCUGCGCUAAAUCCAACGGCUCAACCGUUGGCCUGCAUGGGAUACUGUCGGGCUAGGGAGCGGAAGAGGCCAGGGGUACUCCCGGGGUAGGGGCGAAAUCCUAUAAUCCCGGGAGGACGACCAGUGGCGAAGGCGCCUGGCUAGGACGCGUCCGACGGUGAGGGGCGAAAGCUGGGGGAGCGAACCGGAUUAGAUACCCGGGUAGUCCCAGCUGUAAACCAUGCGGACUGGGUGUCGGUACGGCUUCGGGCCGUGCCGGUGCCUCAGGGAAGCCGUUAAGUCCGCCGCUUGGGGAGUACGGUCGCAAGACUGAAACUUAAAGGAAUUGGCGG